This 253-nucleotide ribosomal RNA is filed under the name uncultured bacterium. RNAcentral describes it as "partial 16S ribosomal RNA". It matches the Rfam family "Bacterial small subunit ribosomal RNA", at positions 524 to 776 of the family's 1533-position model. The record is from RNAcentral.
UACGUAGGGCGCAAGCGUUGUCCGGAAUUAUUGGGCGUAAAGAGCUCGUAGGCGGUUUGUCGCGUCUGUCGUGAAAGCUUGGGGCUUAACCCCAAGUCUGCGGUGGAUACGGGCAGGCUGGAGUUCGGUAGGGGAGACUGGAAUUCCUGGUGUAGCGGUGAAAUGCGCAGAUAUCAGGAGGAACACCGGUGGCGAAGGCGGGUCUCUGGGCCGAUACUGACGCUGAGGAGCGAAAGCGUGGGGAGCGAACAGG